GUAUGAUUCCUGUCCUUCUAUGUUCCUCUUCCCUCCCCCAGCCAACUCCCUGCCUGAAGAGGAAGAAAAAGCAAUGCAGAGCAUCCAGAACUUUAAAUGACUGCAGCACAAAUACUCACCUGCCAAAUACUGACCCUGGACCCCAGGAAGCGGCCCACAGCCAAGCAGAUCCUUCAGCACCCAU
Molecule: long non-coding RNA, 184 nt
Filed under: Ictidomys tridecemlineatus (thirteen-lined ground squirrel)
Lineage: Eukaryota; Metazoa; Chordata; Mammalia; Rodentia; Sciuridae
Description: lncRNA (ENSSTOG00000031898.1)
Source: RNAcentral